AACGCAUAUUGCACUUCUUGGUAUUCCGAGAAGUAUACCUGUUUGAGAAUCAAUUUAUUCAUCAUACUCCAGUUUGGAGUUAUGGAUUUGGACUUUUGCAUAGAGCAUAGUCUUGAAUAGAGUGUAUUGUCUUGAUUUUAAACUCGACGUUUAUGAAUAUGUAGUUCAACUACAUUCUUUUACGUUUAUAGUUUUUAAUCGUAAAGGCAAUCUCAACAUAACUCUUGAACUUCUUAGGAAGGAAUAGGGACUUGAAAUUCAUUGACUAUUUUAGUCUUUGACUUUUUGAAUCUUGGUCUCAAAUCAGGUAAGAGUACCCGCUGAACUUAA
Molecule: unclassified non-coding RNA, 330 nt
Filed under: uncultured fungus
Lineage: Eukaryota; Fungi
Description: partial contains 5.8S ribosomal RNA, internal transcribed spacer 2, and large subunit ribosomal RNA
Source: RNAcentral